Molecule: ribosomal RNA, 253 nt
Filed under: uncultured bacterium
Lineage: Bacteria
Description: partial 16S ribosomal RNA
Rfam family: Bacterial small subunit ribosomal RNA
Source: RNAcentral
UACGAAGGGGGCUAGCGUUGCUCGGAAUCACUGGGCGUAAAGCGCACGUAGGCGGCUUUUUAAGUCAGGGGUGAAAUCCUGGAGCUCAACUCCAGAACUGCCUUUGAUACUGGGAAGCUUGAGUCCGGGAGAGGUGAGUGGAACUCCGAGUGUAGAGGUGAAAUUCGUAGAUAUUCGGAAGAACACCAGUGGCGAAGGCGGCUCACUGGCCCGGUACUGACGCCGAGGUGCGAAAGCGUGGGGAGCAAACAGG